GGGUAAAUGAACUGGAUGGGAGCGGAGGAGCUGCCAAGCACAAGGGUCCUGCUUUUACAAUGGAAGGUGCUCCAGAAGCCACGUGAUCUAGCUAGACGCAAAGGGGUCCUUGCAUUACAAAUGGAAACACACUUAGACAUCCUGAGGAAUAUUUUGAAAGAGGGAUCAUGGGGAUGAGGCAGAAUUUUUGAUGAGAAAAGGGGUGGGAGGAGGAAGAACUUCAGGGUUGCUGCAAAUGUGCAGUGUCUGCACUCAACGGCAAAUGAAACUGACCGUAGACUAUGAAGACCAAGCAGUGGGUGCUCCUGUGAAUAUCUGGAAAUCUUCUCACGGUGGGAUCGCUGAGUUCUUCCACAAUUUUGCUUGGUGAGCACAUGCUCACUGAUUAGUCUUUAUGUUCUACUUCAACAGAACUUAAAGAUUCACCUGUGUCUUCCAGGGGAGGUGGCUUGUCACCUGGUGAUUCCCUUUUCAGCACGUUGACACACAAAGCAAAAGAUAGCUUUUAAAGACGCCAUCACCCCCAAGUUAAUGAAGAUUAUUAUGUCUGAUUGUAUGGACAAGAAUUAUCACCAUUAUCAUGUCUGAACAUGUGGACAAUUGUUUUCGUCUUGGUGCAAGAUCUGCUUGAAGAGCGCGUUCUCCUUGGGCGGGAGGCUCACGGCCCGCAUCAUUCCGGCUCCUCCGCUGGUCCCGCCACCACCUGGUUCGGACAGUCUGUUUGUCCGACCGCCGCCACUGCCGUCCCGGGCUCCUUCAGCCUUGAAUACCCCGAUCUACCGCCACCACCACGCCUCAUGUGUCACCAUGUCGCCUUUCCCGGACACCCCCUUCUCCUUCUUGUCUUUUUUCCUUUCUCAACGCUGCCGCCCCCCACGAGUCUCUGUCGGCGGUUCACGUGGCAACUGAACAGUCAUAGCUUCUAUUUCUUAUCCUGCUGUUAUCUGUUGGUGGGUUUGGGCAAGGUGCUGAACAUCUAACCUCUAUUCUUUAUCACUAUUUGGGAACAGUUGGGGAACUCCACUGCAACGGAUAAUCCCUGGGAACUCUGUGGAUCUGUAAAUACAGGUUAGAGGCAAGAGAAACCAGUAGGAGGUGCUGAGCAGAACCAGGCUGAGGGUGCUGGCUCUGAGCUCUGCUCUGAAAGACCUGUCACUUGGGCAGGUCGCUGAGAGCUCUGUACACUCAUAUUUUCCUGUCUGUCCUGGCUUCAAAGUCUCAGUAAGCUACUUGCUUCCAAGACACGUAAGACUCCCUAAAAAGAGGACCCACAAAAGUACCUUCGUCAACUGGCACUUUUCAAACUUUGUAUGUUCUCACUGCCUUCAGUGUGCAACUGAGUUGACCGACGUCAGUUGUGUUACUGCACAUUCAACUCUUAGGCAGGAGAAGACUGAAGAAGGUCCGCCAGGUAAAAACUAAAGGAAAGCAGAAGUUUUAUAAACAUUGCUUUCUGGAUACCUGGAUGUGUGACAUAGACUGAAAUAUCAUGGGAGGAAAAAGCAAUGAGUGGCCCAAAGCUGUAUCUACAGAGAGGAACUUAGAAUUUACUCUGAUCAUUUUAUUUUAGAUGGAUAAACUAUAUUUUCAAAGUUCAAAAUGGAAUUUUUAAGAAAAUUGACGAAGUAGCCCAAUGCAAAUUCCAUUUUUUCUGGAUGUCUCUUCAGUGCUAAAUUGUGCCCUAAAGUCUUGGUUUACCCAUCUUGUAAAAAAAAAAAAUCUGAGUCCUCUUUCCAGUGAUUUCUCUUAGGAAUAAGAGGGGAGAAGGAUCUAUUAUGAGUAAUUGGAGAACUGAAAGCAAAAUGAUUUUAAAAUAUGAAAGGAGCUACUGAUAACAUUUUGGAUCAUUCUUAUCAACUAUUCAUAGGACAUAAAUUAUAAAUAUAUAUCAUGGAAAGUAGUGUAUAUCAGAACAUAAAUGCACAGCAUAUAUUGUCAAUAUGCUUUUUUUU
Molecule: long non-coding RNA, 1952 nt
Filed under: Heterocephalus glaber (naked mole-rat)
Lineage: Eukaryota; Metazoa; Chordata; Mammalia; Rodentia; Bathyergidae
Description: lncRNA (ENSHGLG00100040428.1)
Source: RNAcentral